Non-coding RNA from Podarcis lilfordi (Lilford's wall lizard), 1422 nucleotides. Lineage: Eukaryota; Metazoa; Chordata; Lepidosauria; Squamata; Lacertidae. The record is from the annotation of a GenBank genome assembly.
CUCCUGCUGCUGCCGCAUUGCCGGAGCACAAUUUCUGUUCUCAUCCUGAAGCAAAGUUCUUAACCCAAGGUACUAUUUCUGGGUUAGCGGAGUCUGUAACCUGAAACAUAUGUAACCUGAAGCAUAUGUAACCCGAGGUUGCACUGUAUUUCCAUUCUACAUAUGGGACAUGGGGAGAAGGGCUACUCAGUAUAAUCCAAUUUCCUGCUUGCAUGUUGAUGUUUACCAGGAGUAGGAUGCCCCUAGAUAGAGCUGUUGCUACUAUUGUGUUGUGAAAUACAAGAAUAUUGCACAGGGGAAAAAACGUAGUGUUGAUUGGGAGACUUGCAUCAUAAAAUUCAAAGAAGUGAAACUUUCAAAGGAUAACUUUGAAAGUUUUCCUCGCCGUAUUAUUUCAGGAAGGGUGACAAGCAGGCUUGCAGUGAUAUGUGAACCAAGCCAAAUUUCUCCCCCACCCUUAGUUGUAAUCCACUUCUGCUGUUUCAUCAAAAGAACCUUGGGCAUUUUAGGCUGAUUAAGAGAGCUUAUAUAUUUAUGUUAAGUGAUCGCUGGGACCUUUACAGGACCACAGUCAUCAAGAUUUAAGUGUGAUGUGGAAUUGCCCUGAGUAUUCCACACACUGCGUUCAAACUUCUCUUCCUCUUGGCCAUGCCCUCUGUCUUUCUCUCUCCCCAAUUCUCUAGACGCCUUGGGGAAAUUCCCUAGACAUAUCAGAAUUCCACCCAGAAACCAUAAGACCUCAGGAACACAACAUUCAAAUUAAUCCCCUACCAGUGAAAAGGACACAUGGCAUUGAAAGCCGAAAGUCAGGCCAAAAACCUAAUCAGGUAGUGAUAUGGAAGUUGUCUACUUCAAGUAUGAACUGGUAAGAAAGGAAAUUGAUAUAUUAUUUAAAAAUGGAAUACUCCAUCCCUCAUCAUAUAAGGAACCUUGGCAGCUGUGACCAUUUCUGAUUAAGGCAGCGAGUUUUUGCAUCUCCUUCUUUGCCUGAAGAAUAAAUACCUAAAAGUGGUGAAGACAUAUUACUUGUAUUAAUACAAUAGUAAUAUUAAUACAUAUUACUGGUUGCAGAUGUAGGUUAGUAUUGACAUUAUGGUUUAUAAAUGCAUGUUGGCUAGCCAUAUUACACCACAACUGUGCCCCAUUUCCACAUGUAAAGCACAGCACCUCCUAACACAUCCCCAUAAUCAAGUACCCUGUCGUAACAAUGGAAUGGCAAAGCUUAGUACCAAGCAAUCUCUGCUGAUUAAUCAUCCUGCUUUACCCAAAUCUUUACCUAUUUUCUGUUUGUCCAAAAUUGCAUAGGUUUGGUUGUAGAAAACUGCAGAAACUUGAUUUUUAAAAGUUUGUAUAAUUUAAUAAAGUCAUAGAUAGAUAGAUAGAUAGAUAGAUGAUAGAUAGAUAGAUAGAUAGAUGAUAGAU